AGGGAAUUUUCCGCAAUGGGCGAAAGCCUGACGGAGCAACGCCGCGUGAGGGAAGAAGGUCUUCGGAUCGUAAACCUUUGUCAUCGAGGACGAUAAUGACGGUACUCGAGGAGGAAGCCCCGGCUAACUACGUGCCAGCAGCCGCGGUAACACGUAGGGGGCGAGCGUUGUCCGGAAUUACUGGGCGUAAAGGGCGCGUAGGCGGCCUAAUAAGUCAGAUGUGAAACCCCCGGGCUUAACCGAGGCAUUGCACAUGAAACUGCAUGGCUUGAGUGCAGGAGAGGGAAGUGGAAUUCCUAGUGUAGCGGUGAAAUGCGUAGAUAUUAGGAGGAACACCAGUGGCGAAGGCGACUUCCUGGACUGUAACUGACGCUGAGGCGCGAAAGCGUGGGUAGCAAACA
Molecule: ribosomal RNA, 401 nt
Filed under: uncultured Bacillota bacterium
Lineage: Bacteria; Bacillati; Bacillota
Description: bacterial SSU rRNA
Rfam family: Bacterial small subunit ribosomal RNA
Source: RNAcentral